AACCCCCUACAUCUAAGAACCCUAGAUUCCCUAAUUUAUAAAAUGCUCUCAAAUCUUCCUCUCUACCCCGCCGUCUUUCGUCGCCCGUAAAUCGGCAUCUGGCAGGGACUACCACCAAAUGACCCCAAAUUUUCACCAAAUACUCCUCACCACCUCCUCAACCCUAAUCCAGCAUCAUACUCCCUAAAACCCCUCUCAACCUCGCCGAUUAGAAGAUCUAGGAAUAUAUUUUGGCCCAUUUUCCUAAUUACCAUCAACCCAGUGUCAUCUUUAUCUAACUCUUACAACAAAUGAUAUGUCUUUGAGAGACCGUUCAUUUGGGGUCAUUAGUUCACUUCAAUUCUGGUGGCCAAUUCCCCCCAAAACUUUCACCUUUCAUUUUUAAUUGGCGUGCUAAAGUUAUUGUUAUAUGUAGCACUGUCCGAAAUGAAGAAAUCACGGCCAGUACUCGUGUAGCAAUAAUCUUUUCACGUCGGAGUUCAUUUUUGUCAUCUUGAUUCAAUUAGAACAGGUAUAUCUUUCUCUUACUAUUCUUAAUUGUUUAAUUAUGUGUUUAACUUUUAUUGGUCUGAAUUCGUUUUAAUUAAGUUAAGUUUAGUUGUACAAACUUAUGCUCUAAUUGCAACUUGUCACAACCCCAAUAUCCCACCUUAAGGUGUCGUGAUGGCACCUAGUCUCUAAGACUAGUAAGCCUAACAUACAUGAAAAAAUAACAAAAAUAAUAAUAGAAACUAUACAUCCCUAAUACAUCAAUAUCAAUAAUAAGAGUAUGCAACAAAAAUCAAGGACAGAAGGUGACUUCGAGACAUCCGAACGCCGGCAGAUAUACCUUGAAGUCUCCAAUCUGGAAGUUCUACUCACUGGUGCCUAGCUUGGUAUGAGGCACUUGAAUAUUCACAAAAAGAUGUGCGGAAGCGUAGUAUGAGUACACCACAAUAUACCCAGCAAGUAUCAAGCCUAACAUCGGUAAGCAGUGAUGAGGUCAGGUCAAAACACCUACUAGGAUAAGAAAAAGAAAUUGAACAAGUAUAAUAUAGUCUAAGAAUGUAAACAAGGAAAAUGAGGCAAUAAGGAAAUACAACAAGAUUAACUGUGUCACGAUCCAAACCGAUGGGCCGCAUGUCUACAAGCCUUUAAGAGUACAUAAAUGUCAUAAAUGUCAGGAUAGAGUCCCGCUAUACCAAACAAUACAUGUCUAAAUCAUACCAAUCAAACAUGCAACUCUGAAGCGAAUGGAGAGCACCAACAUCCUCCGCUGAGCUGAUAGCCUACUUGGGGGUCUCUCGACCUAUCUAUCUGGACCUGCGGGCAUGAAACGCAGCAUCCCCAGGCAAAAAGGGACGUUAGCACGAAUAACGUAUUGAGUAUGUAAGGCACAUAAAUAAGUACAUAACAGACGUGGAGGAAAUAUAGAAUAAAUGACUCCACAUGUAAGUCUGAAUAACUUUGUAAAUCAUGAAACAAUUAUAGUAUCAUGCAUAUGCAUAUGAAUGUCAUGUCGUGCAUAGGUACAUAUUUCAUAACAUCACCAGCCUCUGAGAGCAUCUCAUCAUAUCAUCUUGGCCACUGUGUGAAAAAUCAUCAACGUAUACCAGUUGAUCAGGUGGUGGUGCGUAUGUAACGCCAUAACCUUUCUCAUAACCCAUAUACAUAUAUAUACAUACAUAUAUACACAUAUAUAAUGCCAUCUGGUCAUGGGUCAACGUACAUGAAUGCAAUGCAUGAAAAUUACAUUAACAAAAUCUUUCGGAAUGUCAUAAGACCAAUUUGUCGUUGAGUAAUACCAUGAAAUAAACCUUAUCAAUUUACGUAUUUUCUGAGACCCAUGAACAGAUGAAAGAAUAAUAGGACACAUGGAGAAUCAAGUACAUAGGCACUUCUAACACUUCAUGAAUAGAGUCAUUUAUGAAAGUUGGUCAUUUUCUCGUUUCGUUCAUAUCGUAUAGAUCGUGCCAAAAGAAAGAAAGGAUAGCCUUAACAUACCUGAGCCUAUUCUCUUGACAAUCCUUCUAAUAUAUGUUGAUUGCGACAAAACGCAUAACGGCGGAUCGAAGUAGGGGAAAAUUCGUAUGGUAUUCUUGAGAAAGAUUGCACCGUGAUCUCUUAGAAUCGGAUUUACGCUAUUGUAGCAAUCCAUCCGUUAGCAAGCCUAGAUCUCUUGUAAGAGUUCAUAAGUAUUAUUUUGAAUUACAUGCUUUAGUUGCUGCCCAUAAUUUCCUCUUAAAUGACUAGCUCUUGUUUGAUGUGUGCAUGGAAUGAUGCAGCAAAUGGAGGUUUAAAUAAUCUUGUAAGUUUGUAAUUUGAGUAUAUCCAAAUACAAAAAUGGAAUGAAAUUAGGAACAAAUAUCACCCACUCACUUGGUAUAUGGAAACACUUUUUCGUAUGAACAACACCAGUAUGUAACAAUCUCUCAUAUUUUAAAGAUUUGUGGCUCCCACUUUUGGGAUGACUUAGUCACAAAUAUAUCUUAAAAUAUGACACCUUGCAAUUCUUUUUAAGAGUCAUUGAUUUGAAUUGUGGGCUGCCACAUUACAAUAUUAUCCAAAUAUAUCCCCAAUAAAUAGGUAAUGUCUUGUUACCCCGUAAAAUUGAGAAUUAUUUUGACUUACUUAAAAUAUUACUCACUUUUCACAUACCUUAUACACCUUACUAUUAUGAUCAUGUGGUACCUUGUAUGGUACUAGUCCAUAAAUACCGAGUAUUUUAGCUUGAGCUAGAUUUUAUCCCAAUAUGCCAAACUUGGACGAAAAUUCGUUUUCUUUGACUUGCUUCCCUUUCACCUUUACGAAUUUACUUAUUACUUAUUUGAAAUGGCAUAAUCUUUAUAAUCUCCAAAUAAUCUUUUCCAUGGACUAAUGUCAGUUACCUUAUGACAAAUUCAACGUACAACACUAUAGGGUGCAACAUCGUUGUAAUGUAGUACUGUGGGAUGUGACAUCUCACUUUCGGGUUCUCAUUAGUUUAUUUAUGGUGUGUUUUCAUGUACAAAAAUAUGGGGUGUAACAUCAUUCCCCUUUUGGAACAUUCAUCCUUGAAUGUUGAAUGAUGCGCUUAUUGUUAUCAUAUCCCAAAGCUCUUGCGAAUACUUUAGUAGUCCUUUUGUCACCUAGGCAACUAUUCUGUGAAUAAGUCCAAAGGCCAGGACAUUCCCUCCUUUAGGCCUCUUUCCCACGCCAUGACAUGUGAUCGAAUUCCUUCCACUCUCGUAACUGUUGCUGCCUUCCAUUAUGUUGCUUAUACGAUAUGAACCUUGUAAGUAUGCCUAUGCGACUCUCCUCUCCUUUUUCCUCCAGAUUUUAGCCAAUCCUGAAGUUCUUCGCUUGGUAUUUGUCGAACUUACGAAUAUUGCUAUAUCUUAUUUUAUAGACCUGGUUAUCCAUUCGUAUGGCUUUACUACACCUACAUAGGUCAUACUAUACCAUAAUUUUUACCUCGAUUUCUCAUUAUUGAAGUCUGCUACCAAAUCUCAGAUUACUUUCAUUGCUUAUCUCAUACAUAUAAAUCUAUAUCCUCUAAUGCCUCCAUAUUACUGUUCAUCUUUAAUAAUGACGGCAUAAUCUCCUCUCAUACUUUAUAACUUUUAACCAUCCAUUGUCGAUUCACCUCAAUUUCGAUCCAUAAUCUACCCCUAAUAACUCAACCUUUUCUGUAAUAUUGCUACUAGGAAUCACAUUUUAUCGGGGAACAUCUGAAAUGGUUAGAAUGAUCCACCAGAGGAGAUACCCUGCUUUCAUAACCAUAUCUCAUGGCAUCCCAAUGUGAUUCAUCGUGCGUGGGUAUUUUAAUCCUGUCCAAUUCAUGAGAUCCCUUUCUUUUAUUCGUCAGAUCAUUACUCAAUCUAAGGCCUAAACAUCAUUUUUUUUGUCUAUAAUAACUACACCCUCAUUUUAUUAACAGGGCAGCAUUCCAUCUCUUCUGAAUGUUAUUAGUCUUAGACUCCUUUGAGUUCAUUCAGGUUAUACUGAACUUUCUAUAACUUAGAGAAAGCAAUAGCUUUCUUGUUUUCAUGGCUCUUAAUCCCGAUGACUUAUCCGUUCUCGUCACCAUCUUACUCGCCCUUUCUCGUUCUUACUCCUGUCAUAAAACUUUGUCGCUUUACUAUAUUUUAGCAUGGGACCCAUACAUAUCUAUUUAUAUUAUUCACAUCUUUCCUUCAACUUGCUUGCACCAUAGAUUUCCUUAUGUUGUUCUGGAACAUCAAGUAAGACAUCACAUUGUCUCUAACUAUUCUUUACUCUCACAAUCAAGCUUUUCGAUACCUAGACCAUAGGUUAGAAGAUAUGCUAUUGACGUUGUUGCUAUCAUUCCUGGAUAUUCCCCGCGCUUCUAGCCUUCUAUCCCAAGUAUGGAAUAUUCUCAACCUUUUGCUUCUGAGUAUCUCGUUCAUUAUUCACAUUUACCUUACUUUCCUUAAAGCCUCACAUCACAUCUUAUAUCUCUUUCAUGACCUUCCCUCCACAUAGAUAUAAUGCACAUCCACGUCUUGAACUUCUAUUAUAAUACAUGCACCUUUUUACAAAAUCUCAUGAGAGCUUCAUACUAACCUCUUAUGAGGUUGAGACACCUCUAAGUGGCUUUAUCGUAGUGCCGUUAUAGAAUAUAGCUACUGCAUUAUCUCUCUCGUACCUUUGAUAGUAAGGGUGAUUCUGCAAUGUUUUCAAUCACGAUUUCUAUAAUUUUCAGGGUCCAAUAAUCAGAUUCCUGAUUUACUUCGUUGAUGUAUAUCUUUAGUUUCCUCUUUCUUAUCAGCCUUUAUGUAGGCUUAAGCCACCUACCGAUAUGAGGUUCGUGGUAUUAGUCAUUACUUUAGCCCUCCAUGGACGUUAUGGAAUAUCCAUGAUACAAUCUUUUAAUAAUUCAUUCCUUUAUCUAUGACCUGGGCUCAAUUCUUUCUUUUAAACUAUACCGAAAUCUUCUACGGCUAUAUGAUUGUCAACAUACAUGCUGCAUGGAUAAUACCCUGAACUCUCAAGUGCAUUCAUAAAGUAACCAAACUUUGGAUCAUUGAUCGAAUGAUUCUUUCAUUCCUUCUUAGUUUUCUUUAAACGUAAGCCAUUACCUUUCCUAUUAUUUCUUCCCCCUUGUUGCAUGCAUACUUAGCUUAUCUUAGCUCUCACGCAUACCGGAAUUUUCGUACAACUCAUAUGAUCUUCGAAUAUUGCUUUUGAUUUUACUUCCCAUUCAUUAGCCACGGUAGGUUCCUCUUUCUUAUGGAGAACGUACAAUGUCGUUGUGAAACUGUUGUUACAAGACCAUUUCCUCUUUAGGUUGCUGAGUUCAGGUUGCAGCCUUUUUCCUUAUUGUCCUUAACUUGUCUUUCAUUAUAGUACUUAGGGAGGACUCUCUGACUCUUGUAAAUCUGUGAGCUUAUUAUAUUGUACACUCGACGGACCAUCUAAUGUCUUUCGUUGCCUAUACUUAUCUGUAGUUACUUAUCUCCAUGCCCUUGUGCUUGUGGGGUUGAUUCUGGACUGAUAUUUUGACCGUCUUCCUAGUGGAACUCUUUUUUAUUUCCGUAACACUCAUACAGUACCUUUUUCACUUCGCCGCGGUAGGUUCCUCUUUCUUAUGGAGAACGUACAAUGUUGUUGUGAAACUGUUGUUACAAGACCAUUUCCUCUUUAAGUCGCUGAGUUCAGGUUGCAGCCUUCUUCCUUAUUGUCCUUAACUUGUCUUUCAUUGUAGUACUUAGGGAGGACUCUCUGACUCUUGUAAAGCUAUGAGCUUAUUACAUUGUACACUUGACGGACCAUCUAAUGUCCUUCCUUGCCUAUACUUGUCUGUAGUUACUUAUCUCCAUGCCCUUGUGCUUGUGGGGUUGAUUCUGGACUGAUAUUUUGACCAUCUUCCUAGUGGAACUCUUUUUUAUUUCCUUAACACUCAUACAGUACCUUUUCACUUCUCCAACUCUUAUAUGAAUAUAUCUCAACUAUUACAAUGUCAUAACUGCGGGGCUGAAUUCACUAUAUUGGGUUUUACUAUUUUUAUCUUGCACAACCUAUUGUUAUGUCUGUUUCCUCUUGACUGGCCAUAAUUAGGCUCUUCCUGAAUCAACUACUAACUACUCGUUGGCCCAUUCUCAUGUCAAUAUUCCACAAAAUCUUUCUUGGGUUAUUUUCUUUGUCUUAACUUACGUCUCACACUAACUCCUUAUCUAUCAAUAACAUCUCGGGCAGGGACCUGUACUUCCUCUCAUUGACGUCAUAAUUGCAUAAUGUUCUGGAAUUGUAGCAUAUACGUAGGAGCUGAAUAAGUGUAAUCUCAUUCCUUUUUUGUGUUUACCGCAUUCUUCAUUUACCAUUCCAUGAUUACUAGAACCAUUUAAUUCUGACUUUAUGUCACAUCACUUCAUAUUCCUCCCUUUAGGGGAGUACUAAGAUUUAGCAUUAUGAUGAUCUACUUGUAGAUGUUUUACCUCUUUAGCCUUGGCGUUUUCUCACAUCAUCGAUGACCCUUACUCGCCUUGUGGUAAUCCUUUUGUACCAAGAAAAUGAAAUUUCUCACUCGCGAAAGUGGCACUUAGUGUAACUGGCACACAUAGUCCCUUAAGCUUAAACUUUGCUCACAUUGCUUGCUUUAGGGAAGCGUCUUCCUGAAUGACCAUUUUUUGAAUUUCUUCUGAAUCUUUGUCUGUUGUCCAUUCUACUAUCGCUAGAACAAAAUCUAAAAUUCUCAUGAUGCCGACUAUUAUCAAAUCAUUCAGUCCUUAAUUUAUGUUUAGUUUAUCUUGUUCACCAGCCCAUACUGAUUCCUAUUACUCCGGGGUCUAACUUUUCCUCUUGGUAAUCGCUCUAGAGUUGCGAUCUUAUUUCUCAAAAUAAGGACAUGACUGUAUGGCAUAUACUCUUUUGUUGUCUUAAGGCUUAUCACCUCUUGUCUCUUCCUUUACUUGAAUAUAGAUUUUGUAAUAUUAUCAUCUUUUGAUCUACCGUUGUCAUCCAUGUACCACAUCUUACUCAGAAUGCUUCAUUAACUCUUUUCUUAUUUCCUGCUAACAUUUAUGCCUAUCACUUUAUUCUGAAAACUCGAACAAGAAAUUCUUUUGCUUUUAGCUUCCCUUUGUUCCAUCUAGUGGCUCAUCAAGUUGCUUAACGUUCUCUAUUUACUAGGGACANNNNNNNNNNNNNNNNNNNNNNNNNNNNNNNNNNNNNNNNNNNNNNNNNNNNNNNNNNNNNNNNNNNNNNNNNNNNNNNNNNNNNNNNNNNNNNNNNNNNNNNNNNNNNNNNNNNNNNNNNNNNNNNNNNNNNNNNNNNNNNNNNNNNNNNNNNNNNNNNNNNNNNNNNNNNNNNNNNNNNNNNNNNNNNNNNNNNNNNNNNNNNNNNNNNNNNNNNNNNNNNNNNNNNNNNNNNNNNNNNNNNNNNNNNNNNNNNNNNNNNNNNNNNNNNNNNNNNNNNNNNNNNNNNNNNNNNNNNNNNNNNNNNNNNNNNNNNNNNNNNNNNCUCUGAUACCACUUUUGUCACGACCCAAACCGAUGGGCUGCGACGGGCGCCCGGUAUCCUACUCAACCGAGUACCAAUGUAACGUAUCUUUCUUAUUAUAUUAUCAUAUACAUGUGACAUACGGGCCUAAUAGGCCCAAACUAUCCUUUAUAAACUCAAAUCAUAGGUUGACAAGGCCGUACAAUCUUUCAUGUACACGACAAAUGUCUACAAGCCUCUAAGAGUAUAUAAAUGUCAUAAAUGUUGGGACAGAGUCCCGCUAUACCAAAUAAUACACGUCUAAAUCAUACUAACCAAACACGCAACUUCAAAGCAAAUGGAGCGCACCAACAUCUUCUGCUGAGUUGAUAGCCUACUUGGAGGGCUCUCGACCCGUCUAUCUGGACCUGCGGGCAUGAAACGCAGUGUCCCAAGGAAAAAAGGGACAUCAGUACAAAUAAUGUACUGAGUAUGUAAGGCACAUAAAUAAGUACAUAACAGACAUGGAGGAAAUAUAGAAUAAAUGACUCCACCUGUAAGUCCGAAUAACUUUGUAAAUCAUGAAACAAUUAUAGUAUCAUGCAUAUGCGUAUGAAUGUCAUGGCGUGCAUAGGUACAUGUUUCAUAACAUCACCAGCCUCUGAGGACAUCCCAUCAUAUCAUCUUGUCCACUGUGGGCAAAAUCAUCAACAUAUACUAGAUGAUCAGGUGGUGGUGCGUAUAUAACGUCAUAACCUUUCCCAUAUCCUAUAUACAUAUAUAUACAUACAUAUAUACGCGUAUAUAACACCAUCCGGUCAUGGAUCAAUGUACAUGAAUGCAAUGCAUGAAAAUUACGUUAAUAAAAUCUUUCGGAAUGUCAUAAGACCAUUUUGCUGUUGAGUAAUAUCAUGAAAUAAACCUUAUCAACUUACGUAUUUUUUGAGACCCAUGAACAGAUGAAAGAAUAAUAGGACACAUGGAGAAUCAAGAACAUUGGCACUUCUAAUACUUCUAUGAAUAGAGUCAUUUAUGGAAGUUGGUCAUUUUCGCGUUUCGUUCAUAUCGUAUAGAUCAUGCCAAAAGAAAGAAGGGAUAGCCGUAACAUACCUGAGUCGAUUCUCUUGACAAUCCCUCUAAUAUACAUUGAUUACGACAAAACGCGUAACGGCGGAUCAAAGUAGGGGAAAAUUCGUAUGGUAUUCUUGAGAAAGAUUGCACCGUGCUCUCUUAGAAUCAGAUUUUACGCUAUUGUAGCAAUCCAUCCAUUAGCAAUCCUAGAUCUCUUGUAAGAGUUCAUAAGUAUUAUUUUGAAAAUGACAUGCUUUAGUUGUUGCCCAUAAUUUCCUCUUAAAUGACUAGCUCUCGUUUGAUGUGUGCAUGGAAUGAUGCAGCAAAUGGAGGUUCAAAUAAUCUUGUAAGUUUGUAAUUUGUGUAUAUCCAAAUACAAAAAUAGAGUGAAAGUAGGAACAAAUAUAACCCAUUCACUUGGUAUAUGGAAACACUUUUUCGUAUGAACAAUACCAAUAUGUAACAAUCUCUCAUAGUUUAAAGAUUUGUGGCCCCACUUUUGGGAUGACUUAGUCACAAAUAUAUCUUAAAAUAUGACACCUUGCAAUUCUUUUUAAAAGUCAUUGAUUUGAAUUGUGGGCUGCCACGGUACAAUCUUAUCCAAAUAUAUCCCCAAUUAAUUAGGUAAUGUCCUAUAACCCCGUAAAAUUGAGAAUUAUUCUCACUUACUUAAAAUAUUACUCACUUUUCACAUACCUUAUAUACCUUAUUAUUAUGGUCAUGUGGUACCUUGUAUGAUAUUAGUCCAUAAAUACCGAGUAUUUUAGCUUGAGCCGUAUUUUAUCCCAACAUGCCAAACUUGGACGAAAAUUCGUUUUCUUUGACUUNNN
This 9299-nucleotide long non-coding RNA is filed under the name Nicotiana tabacum (common tobacco). RNAcentral describes it as "long non-coding RNA (NTAB_LNC013766)". Lineage: Eukaryota; Viridiplantae; Streptophyta; Magnoliopsida; Solanales; Solanaceae. The record is from RNAcentral.